RNAcentral lists this ribosomal RNA (254 nucleotides) under uncultured bacterium. RNAcentral describes it as "partial 16S ribosomal RNA". It matches the Rfam family "Bacterial small subunit ribosomal RNA", at positions 524 to 776 of the family's 1533-position model. The record is from RNAcentral.
UACGGGGGGAGCAAGCGUUGUUCGGAUUUACUGGGCGUAAAGCGUGCGCAGGCGGUCUGUUAAGACCGAUGUGAAAUCCCCGGGCUUAACCUGGGAACUGCAUUGGUGACUGGCAGGCUUUGAGUGUGGCAGAGGGAGGUAGAAUUCCACGUGUAGCAGUGAAAUGCGUAGAGAUGUGGAGGAAUACCGAUGGCGAAGGCAGCCUCCUGGGCCAACACUGACGCUCAUGCACGAAAGCGUGGGUAGCAAACAGG